RNAcentral lists this transfer RNA (74 nucleotides) under Nephromyces sp. ex Molgula occidentalis. RNAcentral describes it as "tRNA-Asp". It matches the Rfam family "tRNA". From Rfam's summary of the family: Transfer RNA (tRNA) molecules are approximately 80 nucleotides in length. The record is from RNAcentral. Lineage: Eukaryota; Apicomplexa; Aconoidasida; Nephromycida.
GAGAAUAUAGUUUAAUUGGUUAAAAUAUCAUCUUGUCAAGAUGAAUGUUACGAGUUCAACUCUCGUUAUUCUCG